RNAcentral lists this ribosomal RNA (447 nucleotides) under uncultured bacterium. Its description in RNAcentral is "bacterial SSU rRNA". It matches the Rfam family "Bacterial small subunit ribosomal RNA", at positions 355 to 825 of the family's 1533-position model. The record is from RNAcentral.
UCGGGAAUUUUGGGCAAUGGGCGCAAGCCUGAUCCAGCCAUGCCGCGUGAGUGACGAAGGUCUUCGGAUUGUAAAGCUCUUUUGGCGGGGACGAUAAUGACGGUACCCGCAGAAUAAGCCCCGGCUAACUUCGUGCCAGCAGCCGCGGUAAUACGAAGGGGGCUAGCGUUGUUCGGAAUUACUGGGCGUAAAGCGCACGUAGGCGGACUGAUAAGUCAGGGGUGAAAUCCCGGGGCUCAACCCCGGAACUGCCUUUGAUACUGUUAGUCUCGAGUCCGGAAGAGGUGAGUGGAAUUCCUAGUGUAGAGGUGAAAUUCGUAGAUAUUAGGAAGAACACCAGUGGCGAAGGCGGCUCACUGGUCCGGUACUGACGGUGAGGGAUGAAAGCUGGGGGAGCAAACCGGAUUAGAUACCCUUGUAGUCCCUGAGCGGGCUGGCAAGGCGCAU